This 68-nucleotide transfer RNA is filed under the name marine eukaryotic metagenome. It matches the Rfam family "tRNA". From Rfam's summary of the family: Transfer RNA (tRNA) molecules are approximately 80 nucleotides in length. Their secondary structure includes four short double-helical elements and three loops (D, anti-codon, and T loops). Further hydrogen bonds mediate the characteristic L-shaped molecular structure. tRNAs have two regions of fundamental functional importance: the anti-codon, which is responsible for specific mRNA codon recognition, and the 3' end, to which the tRNAs corresponding amino acid is attached (by aminoacyl-tRNA synthetases). tRNAs cope with the degeneracy of the genetic code in two manners: having more than one tRNA (with a specific anti-codon) for a particular amino acid; and 'wobble' base-pairing, i.e. permitting non-standard base-pairing at the 3rd anti-codon position. The record is from RNAcentral.
CGGGUGUAGUUCAGUGGUAGAACGUCAGCUUCCCAAGCUGAAUGUCGAGAGUUCGAGUCUCUUCACCC